This 347-nucleotide ribosomal RNA is filed under the name Candidatus Limimorpha avicola. Its description in RNAcentral is "bacterial SSU rRNA". It matches the Rfam family "Bacterial small subunit ribosomal RNA", at positions 1 to 352 of the family's 1533-position model. Lineage: Bacteria; Pseudomonadati; Bacteroidota; Bacteroidia; Bacteroidales. The record is from RNAcentral.
ACAAAGAAGAGUUUGAUCCUGGCUCAGGAUGAACGCUAGCGGCAGGCCUAAUACAUGCAAGUCGAACGGUAAGACCGAAAGGUAAAAGAGUGGCGGACGGGUGAGUAACGCGUAUGUAACCUACCCUUUGCAGAGGGAUAGCCCGAAGAAAUUCGAAGUAAUCCCGCAUGAGGAUAUACGGAGGCAUCUUUGAAUAUUCAAAGUCAAGGCGGCGAAGGAUGGGCAUGCGUACUAUUAGUUAGUUGGUGAGGUAACGGCUGCACCAAGACGACGAUAGUUAGGGGAUCUGAGAGGAUGGUCCCCCACACUGGUACUGAGACACGGACCAGACUCCUACGGGAGGCAGC